Molecule: ribosomal RNA, 491 nt
Filed under: uncultured bacterium
Lineage: Bacteria
Description: partial 16S ribosomal RNA
Rfam family: Bacterial small subunit ribosomal RNA
Source: RNAcentral
GAUGAACGCUGGCUACAGGCUUAACACAUGCAAGUCGAGGGGAAACGACGGGGAAGCUUGCUUCCCCGGGCGUCGACCGGCGCACGGGUGAGUAACGCGUAUCCAACCUGCCUCUGACUGAGGGAUAACCCGUCGAAAGUCGGCCUAAUACCUCAUGGCAUCGUCUGCGGGCAUCCAACGACGAUUAAAGAUUUCAUCGGUCAGAGAUGGGGAUGCGUCUGAUUAGCUUGUUGGCGGGGUAACGGCCCACCAAGGCGACGAUCAGUAGGGGUUCUGAGAGGAAGGUCCCCCACAUUGGAACUGAGACACGGUCCAAACUCCUACGGGAGGCAGCAGUGAGGAAUAUUGGUCAAUGGGCGAGAGCCUGAACCAGCCAAGUAGCGUGCAGGAGGACGGCCCUAUGGGUUGUAAACUGCUUUUAGGCGGGGAUAAAGUGAGGGACGUGUCCUUCAUUGCAGGUACCGCAUGAAUAAGAACCGGCUAAUUCCGUG